Molecule: ribosomal RNA, 390 nt
Filed under: uncultured bacterium
Lineage: Bacteria
Description: bacterial SSU rRNA
Rfam family: Bacterial small subunit ribosomal RNA
Source: RNAcentral
GACGAACGCUGGCGGCGUGCUUAACACAUGCAAGUCGAGCGGUAAGGCCCUUUCGGGGGUACACGAGCGGCGAACGGGUGAGUAACACGUGGGUGACCUGCCCUCAGCUCUGGGAUAAGCCUGGGAAACCGGGUCUAAUACUGGAUAUGACUCCAUGACGCAUGUUGUGGGGUGGAAAGCCUUGUGCGGCUGAGGAUGGGCCCGCGGCCUAUCAGCUUGUUGGUGGGGUGAGGCCUACCAAGGCGACGACGGGUAGCCGGCCUGAGAGGGCGACCGGCCACACUGGGACUGAGACACGGCCCAGACUCCUACGGGAGGCAGCAGUGGGGAAUCUUGCGCAAUGGGCGAAAGCCUGACGCAGCGACGCCGCGUGAGGGAUGACGGCCUCGG